GAGAGACUCUACGGCCACAUUGGGACUGAGAUACGGCCCAGACUCCUACGGGAGGCAGCAGUCGGGAAUAUUGCGCAAUGGAGGAAACUCUGACGCAGUGACGCCGCGUGCAGGAAGAAGGUUUUCGGAUUGUAAACUGCUUCGACAGGGAAGAAAAAGACAGUACCCGUAGAAUAAGCUCCGGCUAACUACGUGCCAGCAGCCGC
This 206-nucleotide ribosomal RNA is filed under the name uncultured Bacillota bacterium. RNAcentral's name for it is "uncultured Firmicutes bacterium partial 16S ribosomal RNA". It matches the Rfam family "Bacterial small subunit ribosomal RNA", at positions 294 to 518 of the family's 1533-position model. The record is from RNAcentral. Lineage: Bacteria; Bacillati; Bacillota.